UGUAACAGAAAAUGAAAAUACUUCAAAUUGUACUUGUAUGUACUUGAGUCAAUGCAGAUACACCAAUUACAAUUAGCUGCUUAGCUGACAUUCAGAUAUUUGAAAUCCUCCAGUCUUAUUGUUGCUUUAUUCUGUUCACAAUUAAUACCAAUACAUAAUGAUAUAAGCAAUUAAACACCUUGUUGACUGGUGGACACACCCAUCCUGUACUCUGAUUCCUAUUUCCGAUAUUCAUCAGCGACUUUAAAAGAAGCAGGACUAAAAUCAAAACAUCCACUUCCUGGAGAACAGUUUUUGAGGCAUUUUCAUGUUUUUAAUUUCCGAGUCAUUUACAUUUUGUCCCGUGUUGUAGUAGGCUACACUUUUCUGUUUUGUUUUUUUUCAAGACAGUGAUUUGUUCUUUUAUCUUUAUUCAAUACUAACACUUUUUUGUUGUUGUGUAUAAUACACAUAUUUUGAAAAUCCCAGAAAUAUUGAUUAGUUACCAAUAUGACCAGCUGUUCCAAAAAUCCAUCAACAUAUCCUUUUUUUUGGAAAGCACAGCUCCUCUCCCCUCUAUAUUAAGAUCGCUUUAUUUAUUGGGGGCAAAGUAACCUGAAUGUCACUGUUUGCGAUGUGACAUUCCAUCAGACAACCGGUCUGUUCAGAAAGGGGGAGGGGAAGACAUCUGAAGGGCAUCAACUAUCCCAGGUUGAAGUGAAAAAUCUGUGUGCAAAACUGGUAGACAGCGGAAAGCAGCCGAUAAAGUGGACUACAUACAGAAAGGAAGGUAAGACCAAACUGCAUCAAUGACGUUUCACUGGAUUGUAAUAGUUUUUUGUGUCCUGGUGUCCAUGGCACUGGUGGUGUUAAUCCAGGUCCAACAAGAACUGAUAAACAUGAUGAACAUUAAGAAUGAAACGGUUUCAAUGACAUUAAAGAAACUAAAUAAACAACUUUCAAAUUUAGACAAGGUAAAAGUUGAGUUGGUCCAGCUAGCUGUUUUGCUAGAAAAAGAGACAAAGGAUCUUGAGGGGCAACCUGUUCCUGAUUUCAAUAAGCAGAAACAACAAAUUGACGCCUGUCAAGCAGAAAAGAAAACAAAAGCUGAUGAGCUGGCAAGCAUUGAGCAGAAACACGCAGAGCUUGCAGCAAAAUUAAAAUCAGAGUCUGGUGCCUGGGAGCAAGAGAUUCAAAGCCUGAAAGCACGGAUUUCGGGGUACAGGCCAAUAUGUGAUCAUGUGAAGAAUAUCAUAAUGGCUGUGAAAUUAUGUGGCACCAAAGAUAAACCUGUCGAUAAAGGAGAGAAGGCAUCUCAGAUCUCCAUAACGCCAGUAAUUCACAAUUGAUCCAAGUGUUAGAUUUCAGAUGUCAUUUGUGUCAUUCCUGUUACUGCUAUAUAAAAUGGUGAUGUGUUUUUGAGCUCAAAUGUAUCAAACUACAAGUACAUUGAUAAUACUAAUUUUCAGUUGCAGAGUAUAAAGAAUGAAUAAUUGGAGUUUAUGAAUAUCUACUAAGUUGAUGGUGAACUGUUAUGGCAGGGCUCAUUGUACUGUUUGUAAAUCGUGUAAGUUACUGUACUUGACAUACCAUAUAUUUAAAUUGUUUUGCAGUGCCAGAUAUAAUAGUAUUUUUCUUGUUGUGGUUUGAUUGUGAUUGCUUUAUUGUGCAGACCUGAGCAAAACAAUAAAAUAAUGUCUUAUUUUUCUUAA
Molecule: long non-coding RNA, 1691 nt
Organism: Eleginops maclovinus (Patagonian blennie)
Lineage: Eukaryota; Metazoa; Chordata; Actinopteri; Perciformes; Eleginopidae
Exons: 5
Source: RefSeq, a predicted model, not a curated record